Molecule: ribosomal RNA, 459 nt
Filed under: uncultured bacterium
Lineage: Bacteria
Description: partial 16S ribosomal RNA
Rfam family: Bacterial small subunit ribosomal RNA
Source: RNAcentral
CCUACGGGCGGCAGCAGUGAGGAAUAUUGGUCAAUGGGAGAGAUCCUGAACCAGCCAAGCCGCGUGAGGGAAGACGGCCCUAUGGGUUGUAAACCUCUUUUGUCGGAGAACAAAACCCGGGACGUGUCCCGGCCUUCGUGUAUCCGAAGAAAAAGCAUAGGCUAACUCCGUGCCAGCAGCCGCGGUAAUACGGAGGAUGCGAGCGUUGUCCGGAUUUGUUGGGGUAAACGGGUGCGUAGGCGGUCCGUUAAGUCAGCGGUAAAAUUGAGGGGCUCAACCCCGUAGUGCCGUUGAAACUGGCAGACUUGAGUUGGCGAGAAGUACGCGGAACGCGCGGUGUAGCGGUGAAAUGCAUAGAUAGCGCGCAGAACUCCGAUUGCGAAGGCAGCGUACCGGCGCCAGACUGACGCUGAGGCACGAAAGCGUGGGGAUCGAACAGGAUUAGAUACCCCAGUAGUC